GCAACAGCCGAGAAGGAUGGUUCCUCUUGGCGGAAGUUUUUCGCCAAGAGGCUAAGAGGGAAUGUGACAGGGUUUUCCUAAAAGGGAUCGCUCAGGCACAGCCGCCCCCGCGACCGUUACCGGAAAGAUGGCCCAACGCCACUGACACGCAGUCGGGAAGGAUGGGCUAUCGUUGGGGAAACCCUGAAUCCGCGAGCCGGGAGACCUGCCACCGCAAAUACAACGGG
This 227-nucleotide non-coding RNA is filed under the name Kozakia baliensis. Lineage: Bacteria; Pseudomonadati; Pseudomonadota; Alphaproteobacteria; Acetobacterales; Acetobacteraceae. The record is from RNAcentral.